CGCGUAGGCGGUCUUGUAAGUCCCGUGUGAAAGCCCCCGGCUCAACCGGGGAAUGGCACGGGAAACUGCGAGGCUUGAGUUCGGGAGAGGGAAGCGGAAUUCCGGGUGUAGCGGUGAAAUGCGUAGAUAUCCGGAGGAACACCAGUGGCGAAGGCGGCUUCCUGGACCGAUACUGACGCUGAGGCGCGAAAGCUAGGGGAGCAAACG
This 207-nucleotide ribosomal RNA is filed under the name uncultured bacterium. Its description in RNAcentral is "partial 16S ribosomal RNA". It matches the Rfam family "Bacterial small subunit ribosomal RNA", at positions 568 to 774 of the family's 1533-position model. The record is from RNAcentral.